Molecule: ribosomal RNA, 1014 nt
Filed under: Triticum aestivum (bread wheat)
Lineage: Eukaryota; Viridiplantae; Streptophyta; Magnoliopsida; Poales; Poaceae
Description: partial small subunit ribosomal RNA
Source: RNAcentral
AUGGAAGAAGCAGGCAUGGAGUUCCUUCUGGACGCCGUGGACAGGUUCCCCUUGCUUGAGGAAUUCGCUGACAGCGUUGAGCAGCCAGAUCCAGUUCCUCUGGCGCGGAUGCAAGCGAACGAGCCUAGUUACGCGGGUAGCGCUGUCUCAAAAGAUGAUUCUGGAUGCGGGCAACAGAUUGGCGAAGUUGAGGUGAACGAAAGGCAACCUGCUGCUCGCCGCCGUACGAACACAUCUCCAACUCGAUCUACCCAGUCAACUGACAGGGUGAACCCAGAAGCCCCCGGGUGGACUAAAAGGUUACAGCUAGGGAGCGCGCCACCGGACAGGACACCAUGUCCCAGCCGUAUGAGCGCUCUGGAGGAGUCGAUGCGCAAGUAUGCUGAAGAACCCAGCAAAAAUGUGGUGCGGCCGACACUUGGUCUAACUUUUGAUUCGCUUGGUGAGGCAUACGACUUCUACAAUUUGUAUUCCUGGGAAACCGGUUUCGGCAUUAGAUAUGGAAAGAGCCGGCUGAACGUUGAGAGGACAAAGUGCAUGCAAGAAAUAGUGUGCGGUUGCUCGGGGAAGCCAGAAGCAGAAAAUAGUAGAUCAUGCAGGUGUGAGUGUCCAGCUUUGAUAAGAUUGUUGCGAGCAGCGGACAACAGCUGGUACAUUACAGAACACAGAGAGAACCAUAAUCAUUCAAUGUCAUUGACAAUGGGUGAGAAAGUUCAAUGGCCGUCGCACAAGAACAUUGAUGUGUACACUAAGGAUCUCAUAAAACAGCUACGGGAGAACAAUGUUAACCUUGGCAAGGUGUACAGCAUAAUAGGAAGUUUCUUCGGGUCGGUUGAGAAGGUUCCAUGCACUAAGAGGACCCUGAGGAACAUAUGCGGGAAGAUCAGUCGGGAGCAGGCUGAUGAUGAUGUUAGGAAGACACUUGAAGUGUUCGCUGACAUACAGGCUGGUGACCCUGGUUUCACAUACAGAGUGCUGGCUGAUGAUACAAGCAAAGUGAAGAACCUGAUGUAG